AAUAAACUGUGACUUUUCUAUUAGUGAGAGGAAUACUUCCACGAGCAGUAGCAUUUCCUCUUGUUAUACAUAGAUUCUCCAGUAUUUUGUAUGGCACUACCUGACAUUUGUUUUUCAAAAAUGAUGUAGCAGAGGACGGUGUUCCUACCACUCACUGCUGAAAGUCUCCCUGUUCCAUGUCUAGUGUUCAGUCAGUAGAGAACUCUCAAUUGUCCUGGUAGCCAUAGCUAUGAUUCCAACCACUAAAAAACCCAAAAACAUUCUCACCGUGAAUUUCAAGAUUUUUAGGAUCAAUGGAGACUAGUGAAAUAUCUUCAGGGCAGAUAUAUGCCAGGAAGACAUCUCUCUGCCUAGACAAUGGGCACAGGCCCAUUGGCCCAAUUAAGCAACAUCAUAAACUCAGAAAAGCUCACAGUUACAUAUAUAAACAGGAAGAUGACUGCAGAUCUAACAAGGUGAGGAAUAGCCCUAUGGCACAUUUUCUUCUCCAUCUUGUGUUAUUAAAUCCCUCCAUGGAUUGUCAGAGUACGAAGAAGAGGGAAAGCAGAGGAUAAGUAGGACAUACCUGACAGACCUUUGCAGUUUUCUAUAGAUGGGGCAGUGGGAGGAAGAGAGGAAGAAACUGUAUUUUUUCAUUAAAUGUAAGUUGUUUACUAUGCAUCUUAAGCCCCAUUUUCCCAGACUGUGUACAUCAAAUUAGUUUGCCAAUGAUGUAUGAAAUAAAAUACUUUAUUUUCUUAAGAGAGAAAUCAAAGAGAUCUUUUCUUUGAAGUGCCGUGGAGAAAAUGAAAAAAUGAAAAUUUAAACAGCUCAAAGUGGAGACUAAUAGCUCUUGCCAUAACAUGCAGAACUUCAAGAAUUUCUUCAGUACUGCUGAGGAUAAAGGCAGAGGAGAAGCAGGGUGCAAAUUGGUGGGAGCUGGGCACAGUGCCCACAGGGCAAUAGCCAAACCUAGAGUUCUCUAGUAAGGUAAGACAGCUCAGCGGUAUCCUUCAGUAUAAAAUCCCUUUUCUUUGUCAUUCUAAGUUAUUAUUCCUGUCUUGUAGGAGCAUCUUCAUUCUUUUUCAGGUCGUAUCAAUGAUCUAAAGUAAAACGUGUGGAGUUAAGAUGGCAGCUGCUUUUUCCUUUGCACACUGUCAGGCAAGCGUCUGACUUCACUGUAGCUUGGCAAAUACCAAGCUUUUGAAUAAAGAAAAACAACAUCUUCAGAAUGCUAGAGCUCCUGAGGUCUGUGUUAGGCUUAUGAAAAUUGGUGAAUCCAAACCGUAUUAAUACUAAGCAUUAUUAAAUCUGUCACAUUGAAUGCAACAUCUUUCUCACACAGAAGGUGGGGAGUGAGUAGAGUUCACAGCACCUAGCACAAGAUGAGGGCCACAGUUUCCUGUACUGUGCUGUUCUAACCAUUGAAAGCCAUUGAGCACAUCUAUAAAUUGAAGAUGGAACCCAUAAAAAUACGUAAUGGGUAUGUAUGCACAUGAGAACAUGGAAGAAAAACAUUAGCUAAAUAUAUCAGGUGGUUUUUUUCACUAUGUCUCAGUAGAAUGCACUAGCAAUAGGUGAGAUUGAUUUAAAGCAUUUAUUUAUGCAAGGUUAAUGAGCCUGUGUGAGUCAUUAUUUUAGGAUUUUAUUAAAGAACUUUUUAGACAACUAAGGGAGCAACAAGAAUAUGUGUUAAAAUGGAAAAGAUUUUUUUUUAAAAAAUGGAAAGGCUAAACUCCACACUAUUUUCUAAAAUGCAAGAAAAACUUUUUACCUGAAAUUUAGUUUUUUAUUUGGCCACAAAAUUUGCCAUCCAGUUUUAUUUAUUUAUUUAUUUAUUUAGAUACAGCCAGUCCAAGAAAAGAAUGUUGGCAGUUUUCAGAAAUAUGUUAUUGAGUUAGAAGGCUCUCAAGAUAACCUACAAUUGCAGUUUUUAAGCAUAUUUUACCAAGGUAUAUUAAAAACUUAGAAAAAACAACUAGAAUUAUGAUAAUAAUGAAAGCAUUAAAAUAUAGCUGGGAUUUCAAAGGAUAAUGUCAGAUGAUGAAACAUAGUUUAAAUGGAACAGACUUCUAUACUCCUGAAUUUUGAAACAUUUCAUAGAGAUGACUGUAUUGGGUGUGCGUGCAUCUCCAGAAAGUACUUAUGGAGUAAUUCUAUACUGGGAGAUAUCCUGACAGUUUGGCUCUUCUGCAGCAAACUGGUUGUGAUCGUGCAGUCUAAUGGACAAACUGACUUAACAUAUGAAAGCUGAAGGUAGACCACUAAUACAGAUAUUUUUAGUACUAUGUACCAAAAAGAAAAUCAACAGAAUUUAUUUUUAUAGAAUAAAAGCUGCUUUCAUUCUGGAAGCCUUUGACUUUCAUGCUGUCAGCUCUGAAUAUAAUUUCAAAUACUUUUUCCAUGUUUAAUUGUCUCAUUGCUAACAAAGAUCUAUUCUUUCGAUUGGAAUAAAAAAAAGGUAACUAGAUAUAUUUCUUUUAAAGCAUGAAUGAAAUCCAUGAGCGAAUAUCUCUGGAACUUUAUUGAAAAUACAUUUUUAAAGUAAUGUAGUUUUAUGGUAGAAGGCAUCAAUAGGUCAUACGCAUAUGACCACAUAACAGAAAUAUCUAUAGAUUCUUGAUUGUAUUUUUCUUAACAUACAACUUGCAAAAGAGGAGAAGAGAAUGGCACACGGAUAGAGAAAAAGAGAGAAGGAAUGAAAGAAAAGAAAGGAAGAUGUUUUAUAAUUAAAAAUUAUUUCUGGUGUUUAUCAAAAUAAAAUUUAAAAUAUAGUUAUCCUGCAGGAGAGUGAAAUAUAAUCAACGUCCUCAGUGCACUGUAACUGCACAUUUUAAUGCACAUUUUAAUAAUUUGUAUUAAUAUCUUGCGUUUUUGCAUAUUUCACAGGCAGCACUUUACAGCCAUUCUGCUGUAAUUCAGAAUGGGAUUUUAGAGGUAAGUCUUUAUUUUUCAUAAAAUUCAAUAUUCAUUCUACUAAUAAACAUAAAUUUUCCAAGUAGAUUAAUAUAUAAUAGACAAAUAUCAAUAUUUCUAAAAAUGCUUUGAACAAGAUUUCAGCAUGUUAUGGAUGUUUCAAUUAAAAAAGAAAAAAAGAACGUUUUAAGAACGUAUCGCUGAAGAAAAAAAAUGUAAGUAAUAUUAAGAUGGCCAUUUGUUACCUGCAUUUGCAGUCUGUGAAGUGCAGUGUACACUCUCCCUAGGUUGUAACUCUGCAUAAAUCACCUUAUUUGCCAUUUUGAAGAAACGUCUUCAGAUCUGUAAUUGAAAUGGACUCACUGAAGUAGUACCCCACAUGACAUCCUUUCUGGCCUCCUCCCACCUAUCACACCACAACAGGUCAAAAUAAAGGUUUAGUUGUCCGUAAAAUGGAAGGAAACUAGAUGCUUCAUUUUUUUCUUACGUAAAUUCUCACUUUGUAUCAUUAUUUUUAGCCCCUCCUGUUGAUGUAUCUUCAAUAAAAACAAUAUAGUUAUGAUUUUUAUCAACUUGCUCAUAGUUUGUGACCUCCAGCCCACUCAUAAUUUUAAUCUGG
Long non-coding RNA from Meleagris gallopavo (turkey), 3514 nucleotides. The record is from Ensembl. NCBI's taxonomy places the organism in Eukaryota, Metazoa, Chordata, Aves, Galliformes, Phasianidae.